This is a non-coding RNA of Hordeum vulgare subsp. vulgare (domesticated barley), 126 nucleotides long. Lineage: Eukaryota; Viridiplantae; Streptophyta; Magnoliopsida; Poales; Poaceae. The record is from Rfam.
AAUGUACUUCCUCCAUCCAGAAAUACUUGUCAUAGGAAUGGAUGUAUCUANNUGUAUUUUAGUUCUAGAUACAUCCAAAUUUUAUCAAUUUGUGCAACAAGUAAUUCUGGACGGAGGGAAUACUAA